AGUGCUCCAUUUUACGUAGGCACUCUCAGUUUGGUCAAAUUAGUUUAAUUGCAGCAUUUGUCCCAUGCAACAAUAUUUGGAUGGUUAACUUUGCGUUGGAGCCUGAGGAUGAAGUGGCAGGUGUUUCAAUUAUUUGAAUGUAGCUGUUUUUUAAUUGAAGUGGCUCACACAAAGCGCUCUUCAAUCUCUUAUCUCAGAACAAAAGGUGAUUGAUUGAAACUCUCCGAAGUGGAAAUUUACUACAGAAAAGGGAAAAACCGAAUGAGAAAGUGCUAUUUUAGCAUUUUCUUGUUUGUUUGUUUUUUUUUGUUUUGUUUUUUUGGGACAGUUCCACCCCAUCAUCGUCGCUUCACAAGGAGAAUCCUGACACUCGCUUCAAGGAGGACAGCAGGCAAGAACACGCAGAGUCAAAUAUAGUAUUUUAGCAAGCACAACAACAACAAAAUACCAGGAUUAAUAACUGGAUUGAUAUACUUAAAAGUAGAAAAUAAGAAUACUAAAACAUUUUAUUUUAUCAGAAACAUUAGAGACUAAAGAUUUACGAGCUUUUUCAACUUCCCAGGAUCUGUUUUUGCAAUCUCAUGUUCAUCUUUAUGGCUCUCAUUCUCCUCUCUUAAAUCAAACCUGACCAGAAUUACACAGACACUUCCUAAAACACACAAAAAAGUCCCACAUUUAACAGCUUUUGCUCGUUUUGACUCUCGCACCCAACAGGUGUUUCUGUUUUGGAGGGCAAAUUUCUUGAAAUCUUGAUAGCUGCUGUUUUUCCACAAACCAUUUUAGCAUUUGCUUUUUUAAUUUCAAUCUUUUGUCUUUCACCUUAAUAAUUUUUUUCUUCUCCACUUUUUUACAAGUAGCUCAGAUGAGACCCGGAGAAGUUCAGCCCUUUCAGUUCCCAGUUCGGCUGGAGCUUUAAUGGAGCUCCUAGCUGUAUCUAUCCCAGGACAAACCCAGGAAGCACUCAAAGAUGAUCCUGGAUCAAGUCAAGCUUCUCUUUCAGGAGUCGAUCACCCCAUGGUUGCCAUGUCUCCAUCCUCUGAGAAAUGCCCCAAAUCUAACCUGAAAUCUAUUUUGCCACCAAUUCCUAAUGGAAGAAAGAGUCCUGCAGCCACCAAUCCCGGCUUUUCCCCUAAUCUUAGCACAAACCCAGGAGUCUCAGAGGGUGGGAAAUAAAGUUUUCGUAAAUUUGUGAUUUUGUGCACUUAAUUGAAGCUAAAUAUGUUCACUGUAGCUGUCCUAGUAAGAAUCAGUUGUAGUUUUUGUAAAAAUAAAGAUUUUCCUAUUGUCCCACUCCGAAUAUUUUUUGAUCUAUUGUAAAAGCAAUCCCAGUGGUCUUUUGAUUAUGAUUAUGCCGUUGUUAGCCACAAUCCAAAAUCCUGUGUCAUUAGAAAUCUGUUUCUGAGUUGUGGGCGGGAUCGUUGUGAAAAAAAUGCCACAACAACAGGUUAAUUUUCAUCGGAGUGGGUCUUUAACCUCAUAUGUCACAGAAAAAGCAUUUAAAAUUAAGCUUAAUAUGUUAGUAAAAAAUUCAUCACAACUCAUAGACUUUAAGGUCAUUUCUGGUACAAUUAAGGUUGACUUGCACAAAAAACCCUGAGGGUUUUGCAUUUCCUGCUCUUCAUCUUCAGCUUUGCUGCUGAUGUGUCGACGGUGAUCUUCUGUGUGUAACCCGGAGCUCUUGUCAUUGAUGAUAAAUACGUCAUUAAUCUUUAUCUGUUCUGAGGGGAUUAUUUAUUCAACUGGAAAUGCGCUCCUGUGGAGGUUGUUGACAGGUUUGAAACAAUCACAAGCAUGUUUCUGAAAGCGCACGUCCUGAUCACAGCCAGCAUGCUUCUGUCGUCACGUUUCAGAGUUUCAUACGGCAUUAAUUAGUGAUUCAUCGCAAAUAGAAAUUGUCAGCUGUCACAGAUGCGUGCAUUGCUUAUUUAACUGCUCCCUCAGCCAGUCGGCUUGUAUGCGCAUGUGGGUUGGUGCACACACAUCGGGCUCCGUUUGUUUCCUGACGUAUAGGUGUGUGUACAGCUCGUUUUGCGCGCACACAAAGCACACCUGGCCAUUCAUCACUGUCUGUCUUCCUCUGAGGCAGCAGAUGUUGCAACCCUGUCAUAAUUCUUUGGAAGUUUGAUGCCAGACUUUGUCUUUAGGGCCCCUGGGGUCUAACCUACUUACACUGCAGCCUGCACCUCCCUAAGCCUUAUCACGGACAAGCAAGGUGUUUUAUUUUUUUAUUUUUUUUACAUUAGAUAGGUGUGUUCAAGACAAAUAGGUAUGAAAUGAGAUGAGGAUGAAAAGAAUGGGAAUCUGCGUCUGUUUUGUUGGAUUUUUCCUGCAUCUUUUAAUUCCAAGAAGGAAGACUGAAUCCCAGCAACAGCUGGGAUUCUUUUAAGUCACACAGAACUGACCAAAAGCAAGGAAAGUUUUUUCGUCUCCCUGCUCCAUUCCCCGGUUUACUAAUCUGAACUCACCUCAGAAGGAGCUAAAACAUAAACAUGUCGUGAGCUUUUCCUCUUGUCGUAACUCACAGAGACACUUUUCAUCAGACUGAAAAAGAAACCUUAUGUUUUCUGGUUAGUGAGAUUUAUGUAUUUAGGAUGUUAAGGACAGAUUACCAAUUUGAAGGCUACAAAGCAUUUGUGGGGAUGUAAAAUUAUUUUAAAAAAAACAUUCAAAGAUUAUUUAGAUACUUUUUUAAAUUAG
Molecule: long non-coding RNA, 2697 nt
Filed under: Oryzias sinensis (Chinese medaka)
Lineage: Eukaryota; Metazoa; Chordata; Actinopteri; Beloniformes; Adrianichthyidae
Description: lncRNA (ENSOSIG00000020518.1)
Source: RNAcentral